CCUACGGGAGGCAGCAGUGAGGAAUAUUGGUCAAUGGCCGUAAGGCUGAACCAGCCAAGUCGCGUGAAGGAAGAAGGAUCUAUGGUUUGUAACCUUCUUUUAUAGGGGAAUAAAGGUAUCCACGUGUGGAUGUUUGCAUGUACCCUAUGAAUAAGCAUCGGCUAACUCCGUGCCAGCAGCCGCGGUAAUACGGAGGAUGCGAGCGUUAUCCGGAUUUAUUGGGUUUAAAGGGUGCGUAGGUUGUUUUUUAAGUCAGCGGUGAAAGUUUGUGGCUCAACCAUAAAAUUGCCGUUGAAACUGGAAGACUUGAGUGUGUUUGAGGUAGGCGGAAUGCGUGGUGUAGCGGUGAAAUGCAUAGAUAUCACGCAGAACUCCGAUUGCGAAGGCAGCUUACUAAGCCAUAACUGACACUGAAGCACGAAAGCGUGGGGAUCAAACAGGAUUAGAUACCCCAGUAGUC
Molecule: ribosomal RNA, 460 nt
Filed under: uncultured bacterium
Lineage: Bacteria
Description: partial 16S ribosomal RNA
Rfam family: Bacterial small subunit ribosomal RNA
Source: RNAcentral